AAACGCCAGGACCGCCUCCUACAACGCGGGUCUCGCCACUGGCGAUAUGAGCGCCUACAAAGCGGCCUCAUACGGCGCAGAGCUGCACAUCCUCAAUCUUUUCAGGAUCUGGAGGUUUGACUGGAAAGUUCCAUCAGGCACCUGAGUUCCUUGGUCUCCACCCCUGGGUGGAGCCAUCAUCCCUCCUGCAGUCCUGCACACCUUAGGCUGAUUCUGGGACCUUCUUUGCCACUGCCUUCAACCCCCAGAGCUCCUCGGAUUAACCUCGCAUUCUGGGGCAAUACAAAGGACCUCACCUGCCUGCCCUCCGGCCACCACUCACCACCUUGGACACAGCAGAACUCAGACGCACUCCGUCCCCGUCGCUACCUGCCAAUUCCCCGUUCACCCCACUGACCCACGGCCACACCAUUAGCAACACUUUGCCACAAAUUCACCUGUUGAUCUAAUAAACAAACACUGUAAAACGUGCGAGCCGUCUCUGUUGUGGUUAUCUGCGUUUGAGUCCAAUUUAGCUAUCGGCCUGUGGCCAUUGUGACAAAUCUCACCUAAAAACUAAAUGUUUUGGUAGUGACCUCUGAACUUUUCCAAGUCAAAGACUGAUCAUGUUUCAGAAAUAUGUUAAACAAUGCCAGCUUUACAAAAUGGAAGGUAUUACUUUGAAGAUGAAGCUUCAUACUGUCUCUGUCAUGAAGUCUUCCUGCUGGGAAGCACCAAAUAAAGUACACUAAAUGAACACCAAAUAAGACCUGUUUAUGGUAAUAUGUUAAUGCAAGGUGUCCAAAUCCAAUAUAAGUAAAGUAAGC
Astatotilapia calliptera (eastern happy) is the source of this 806-nucleotide long non-coding RNA. NCBI's taxonomy places the organism in Eukaryota, Metazoa, Chordata, Actinopteri, Cichliformes, Cichlidae. The record is from Ensembl.